CCAAGCUCCUAACAGUGCUUUUUAUUUUCCUCCUACUACAUAGACAGUGUCAUCUUCCUUCCCUAAAUAUUAUUCUUACAGGAGCAAAAAUCUUACAAAAUCUCAAUAUAUGGAAGAUUUGAGUGCAGGAGGAUAUGGACAAGUGUGUAAAAUGGAAAAGGAAAGGAAAAACUGAGGGCAUUUGUACAUUCAGCAGCACCACAGGCAAGGUGUGAGGUUUUUCUUUGCAAACACUGCAGAAUGAGCUGGAUGGAGGGGAGGAUGCUGCCCUAGCCAUGGAUUAUUUUGCAGCUUCCUAAAGGCUUUCAAAGAACACUAUUGCUGCCAGCCCCAGCCCCUGCAGCCCUGCCUGGGAGUCCUGAUGCCUGUCCAUGAAGAUCUGCUCAUUCAUCUGCUGCCUCUUGAGGAGCCUGACCUCAGGUCUUGGAGGAUGCUCUCCUGGUGAGUCCAUGCUCUGCUUUUAGGCACUCUGCACUCCUGCUCUGUGUGCACUGCUCGCAGCUUCCUUU
RNAcentral lists this long non-coding RNA (509 nucleotides) under Zonotrichia albicollis (white-throated sparrow). Its description in RNAcentral is "lncRNA (ENSZALG00000013815.1)". The record is from RNAcentral. Lineage: Eukaryota; Metazoa; Chordata; Aves; Passeriformes; Passerellidae.